CAGUAGCGCGGUAAUACGUAGGUCCCGAGCGUUGUCCGGAUUUAUUGGGCGUAAAGCGAGCGCAGGCGGUUAGAUAAGUCUGAAGUUAAAGGCUGUGGCUUAACCAUAGUACGCUUUGGAAACUGUUUAACUUGAGUGCAAGAGGGGAGAGUGGAAUUCCAUGUGUAGCGGUGAAAUGCGUAGAUAUAUGGAGGAACACCGGUGGCGAAAGCGGCUCUCUGGCUUGUAACUGACGCUGAGGCUCGAAAGCGUGGGGAGCAAACAGGAUUAGAGACCCCUGUAGUCCCUGUCUCUUAUACAC
Molecule: ribosomal RNA, 301 nt
Filed under: uncultured bacterium
Lineage: Bacteria
Description: partial 16S ribosomal RNA
Rfam family: Bacterial small subunit ribosomal RNA
Source: RNAcentral